This 1494-nucleotide ribosomal RNA is filed under the name Triticum aestivum (bread wheat). RNAcentral describes it as "partial small subunit ribosomal RNA". Lineage: Eukaryota; Viridiplantae; Streptophyta; Magnoliopsida; Poales; Poaceae. The record is from RNAcentral.
AUGAACGAAACCAACAGAGACGGGAUCGCACACGGCUCCUGGACCCAAAAAAAAAAAACAGGGGAGGCACGGCGAAUCCAAGCCAAUUCCGGCUCCCAGCUCCGCAACCUCUUUUGCUCCCUCCUGCCCUCCCCGAUGCCGUCGCCCUCGCUCCGACUCGCUGUCGUCGGCGCGGGCGCGGCCGGCCUGGCGGCGGCACGGGAGCUCCGCCGCGAGGGCCACGCCCCCGUCGUCUUCGAGCGCGCCGCAGCCGUGGGGGGCACCUGGCUCUACGCCUCCCCCGCCCCCGCCGCCGCCACCGACCCGCUCGGCGCCGCCGCCACCCACUCCAGCCUCUACGCUUCACUCCGCACCAACCUCCCCCGCGAGGUCAUGGGCUUCCUCGACUUCCCCUUCACCGCGGCGCGCGGCUCCGUCGUCGACGCGCGCAGGUUCCCCGGCCACGAGGAGGUGCUUCGGUACCUCGAGGACUUCGCGCAGCGGUUCGACCUUUACCGGCUCGUCCGGUUCCAGACAGAGGUGGUUGGAGUCCGGAGGGAGGCCGGCGGGAGGUGGGCGGUGACGUCGAGGAAGCUCGGGGAGAAGGGGGAGCAGGACGAGGAGGUGUAUGACGCCGUCGUGGUUUGCAAUGGGCAUUAUUCAGAGCCUCGCGUCGCCUCCAUACCUGAAAAUCUGUACUUUCCAACAUUGACAGGUGCAGAUGCCUGGCCCGGAAAGCAGAUGCAUAGCCACAAUUACCGUGUGCCUGAGCCAUUCCUUGAUCAAGUAGUGAUCGUUAUUGGGGCCUCGGCAAGUGCAGUUGACAUUUCGAGGGACAUUGCAUGCGUUGCGAAGGAGGUCCAUAUUGCCGAUAGAUCAACGCCGACUUCCACUUGUGAACAGCAGCCUGAAUACGACAACAUGUGGCUUCACUCCAUGAUUGACCAUGCACAGGGAGAUGGCACUGUGGUGUUCCGAGAUGGCAGCUCAAUCAAAGCGGAUGUCAUCAUGCACUGUACUGGCUACCUGUAUGACUUCCCGUUUCUUGGGGAUGAUAGCACCAUCACUGUGGAUGACAACUGCGUUGAUCCAUUAUACAAGCAUGUUUUCCCUAUUGAAGUGGCUCCUGAACUGUCUUUCAUCGGAUUGCCGUGGAAGGUUAUCCCUUUUCCACUGUUUGAACUCCAAAGCAAAUGGGUCGCUGGUAUUCUAUCAGGACGGAUCAAGCUUCCAUCGAAAGAUGAAAUGAUGGAAGAUGUCAAAGCCAUCUACUCGAGACUGGAAACUCGUGGAUGGCCCAAGAGAUAUACCCACAACUUCAGUGGUGGUUAUCAGUUCGAAUACAAUGACUGGCUCGCGGAGCAAUGUGGCCAUCCACCUAUUGAAGAAUGGAGGAAGCUGAUGUAUGCUGCUAAUGCAAAGAAUAAGGCUGCUCGUCCGGAAAGAUAUCGCGAUGAGUGGGAUGAUGAUGGUCUGGUGGCACUAGCAAAUGAGGACUUCAAAAAAUACUUCUAA